RNAcentral lists this ribosomal RNA (433 nucleotides) under uncultured bacterium. RNAcentral's name for it is "partial 16S ribosomal RNA". It matches the Rfam family "Bacterial small subunit ribosomal RNA", at positions 29 to 507 of the family's 1533-position model. The record is from RNAcentral.
AACGAACGCUGGCGGCAUGCCUAACACAUGCAAGUCGAACGAGACCUUCGGGUCUAGUGGCGCACGGGUGCGUAACGCGUGGGAACCUGCCCUUAGGUUCGGAAUAACUCCCCGAAAGGGGUUCUAAUACCGGAUAAUGUCUUCGGACCAAAGAUUUAUCGCCUUUGGAUGGGCCCGCGUUGGAUUAGCUAGUUGGUAGGGUAAAAGCCUACCAAGGCGACGAUCCAUAGCUGGUCUGAGAGGAUGAUCAGCCACACUGGGACUGAGACACGGCCCAGACUCCUACGGGAGGCAGCAGUGGGGAAUAUUGGACAAUGGGCGCAAGCCUGAUCCAGCAAUGCCGCGUGAGUGAUGAAGGCCUUAGGGUUGUAAAGCUCUUUUACCCGGGAUGAUAAUGACAGUACCGGGAGAAUAAGCUCCGGCUAACUCCGUG